Molecule: long non-coding RNA, 474 nt
Filed under: Salmo salar (Atlantic salmon)
Lineage: Eukaryota; Metazoa; Chordata; Actinopteri; Salmoniformes; Salmonidae
Description: lncRNA (ENSSSAG00000091380.1)
Source: RNAcentral
AGCUACUGUAAGGGGACCAGUCAUCGUCAGUACAUUCAUCUCCAGAUAGCUAGGUGGACCAGUCAUAGUCAGUACCUUCAUCUCCAGAUAGCUACUGUAAGGGGACCAGUCAUAGUCAGUACAUUCAUCUCCAGAUAGCUAGGUGGACCAGUCAUAGUCAGUAAAUUCACCUCCAGAUAGCUAGGUGGACCAGUCAUAGUCAGUACAUUCAUAUCCAGAUAGCUAGUUGGACCAGUCAUAGUCAGUACAUUCAUCUCCAGAUAGCUAGGUGGACCAGUCAUAGUCAGUACAUUCAUCUCCAGAUAGCUAGGUGGACCAGUCAUAGUCAGUACAUUCAUCUCCAGAUAGCUAGGUGGACCAGUCAUAGUCAGUACUUUCAUCUCCAGAUGGCUAGUUGGACCAGUCAUAGUCAGUACAUUCAUCUCCAGAUAACUAGGUGGACCAGUCAUAGUCAGUACAUUCAUCUUCAGAUAG